UUUAACAUUUAAUAAAAACCAAUUUAAAUGAAAAACUAGAAGGGAACCAAGAUAACGUGAAAGCAAAAAAAAAAAAAAAAAAAGCCGAGAAGGAGCAGAAAGGCAGGGGAUGUUCUUUGCAUUUAUCAGGGGGUUUAUGUUACUUUUUUUUCUUAAUGCGGGAGAGUUACUUUUCUGUUCCCUUGAACCCCAAGCGGGCUCUGCCUCCCUGGGCGAGGGGGGGUGGAGACUCAGGGGCCCUGGGGCCAGGUGAGCCUCUGGUCACUGCCAGGUCCCUGGAGCCUCUGGAUGGGUGCCCCAGGAACGCUGGGCAUGCUCGGUGGCUUUCGAGCCGGCGCCACCCAGCAUUGAUGGGGCAAUUGUAGGCCUCCAGGUGACCCUAGAGUCCUUUGUCCCUCCUGUCCGAAAGGUGCCUGGAGGGGAUGCACUGGGGCUUGCCCAGCCCCCGGGUUCCCAGCCCUUAAUGGUCCUUAACCCACUGUGAUGACUUCCUAGGCCUUGAGGAAGGGAAGGAGAGGGGGUGGCUGCUGGUGGCUUGCGGAGAUGGCAGACACCCCGGAAUCCUCAGGGUGAGUCCCUUGGGGUCACCACCCCAAGCUCCCGUCCUUCGGGGCAGGAGAUGCCCACCCCCCGGGGGAUAAAAAGCAGCUCUCCCUCCUCACCCCUCACCUCAGGGCCACCCGAUGACCCUGGGGCGAUGGUGGACCCCCAGACUCAUAGGCCCCCAACCUCCAGGGACAGGGGCUCAUUGACCCUUUGGGGGUUCUUGGACUCACUGAAGCCCCCUUGGGGCCCAGCAGGUCCAACAAUGACAUUGCAAAAAGGUUUCUUUUUACAAAAGAAAAAGGAAAAACAAGUGGUGAUUUUUUUUAAUAAAAAAACCACAGACUAUAAAUAAAUGUAAAUAUAUAAUAAGUGGAUUUACUUGCAAGAAAAUCAGAUAGUAUUUUUCUUUUAAUUCUUUUCCAGCUUUAAACUGUGAAAACAAAAAAUGGGGUGGGGUGGGGGACUUAAAAUUUAGCAGGGAACUUGUAAAGAGAAAACAGAACAAAUAUAUAAGUCCAUUUUUUUUAAAAAAAAAAAAACUAUGGUGAGAGAUUAGAGCUGGGCUUAAAGCCGGCGGGAGAGGAGAAAGGCCCUUGAGAGCUGCGAAAGUCUCUUUGGUGAAAAAUCUCUUCCUUCUACCAGGAAGGUGCUGCUAAUGUGGGAGAGAGAGAGAGUAGUGAUCAGGAAUCUGGUCUACUCAAAGGAGAUCGCACCCCCCUCUCACACUCACACACACAGACACGGUCCCCGAGCCCAGCACUAGAAUCGCUCACAGGGGUACACCCUCCAUCUAAAGCCUUCCAUCCUCACACGCAGCCAGAGGCAGGGCUCCGAAAAGACUAACUCGUGCGCUCCAAAGCCAUUGACAACAAUAGCAGCUCCAUACUAGCCUUCGUGCUCACGCGUGCCCUCCCACCCCGCCAUGUGCAAGCACACACGCGCACGUACACACUCCACACGUGCAUGCAUGGAAAGGGCACCAGGCUAGAAUCCAGCUUUGGAUUCUGGAAUCCCCUGCCGCGUGGCGUCUCUGGGCCUCAGUUUCCCCCUAUGUAAGCAUGUGGAUUGACCCAGAUGAACUCCAAAGACCCAUUCUUAUUCUUGGUGUCGAUGACUCUUAAGACCUGCCACCUGCCCAGAGGAAGAUGCCAGGGAUGACCGAAAUAGCUGCCAUCCAACCCCCAGACAUGGAGAAUAUUCCCAAAUCAUCCGUCAGGCGCACACACACACACACACACAUCUCAUAUGCCUCCUCACUGUGCUCCCAACCCCCUGCCCCCACAUCCAGUGUCAAAGCAAAAAUACACACAUGUGAGCAACCGCAUCCUGCCAUUCAGACAGAGAAAGAAAAAGCCCCAGAAGUCCCCAAAGCCGCUCUUCCUUUCGUGUCCCCCUUCUUAAAUGCCGUAACCCAGUCACAGAGAGGGAAGGGGGCUUCCUUGAGAGAAGACGUCAGCCACCAGGCUUCCCCUACUGUCUUGGGGGGUCAGAAAAAGGGGAUCCUCUGAGGUUUGCUGGGAGGGGUUAAGGCUGAGGGGAUGGAGAAGAGAGCUUUACAAGGUUGUGUCCCAGGUUGGGGACCGACCCCCAAAGUUAAAGUCACACCACGGACUAAAGUCUGGGGCGCCCUGUGUUUCUCCCCCUUUCUUCCCAGAGUGACAAGGGUCAGUUCAAACUGAGAGAAACCCAACGGCUUUCCCGAGCUUGAGUUUCAGCCCAGACUGGGAGUCACUCUGCUGAAGGGAGGGGCCCCUGCAACACCCCGCGCCCCACCCCCCCCAGCAAGACUUGGGUCAGCCUCUUUCUUGACACUGACCUCUCCCGCCCUCUGAAAUCUCUCAAGUUGAGCUCUCUGGGGAGUUUGGAGGAGUGGGGAGCUCUUGGGGCUCCCACACUCCUAGCUGCCCUUCCCGACUUUAGUCUGGGAAAGGAAAGCUCUUUUCUCAGGUCAGCUGCAAUCCUAAACUCAGCCUGAACCACAAGGCAGAACCUCUGCCAGCCCAGCGCAGAAGUGCACCGAGGCCCCCGGGGGCCAGGGCAGAGCUGGGGGGCCAGCGUCAGGAGUGGUGGCGACCCAGGUCUUCUCAGUCUGGGCAGGAAUGGCAAUCUCUCCCUCCUCCCUUCAACCUUGCCCACCGCCCCCUCCCCCAGAUUACAAGGCUGAAAGGAUCGAGGCCCCAAGAAAACAGCAAACGAGUGGGCGCUGUCCAGAGGGGAAACCUGGCCCCAAGUCUCUGAGUUCUGGUGGAGCGUAUAGGGUGGCAGUCGGCGCUUCCUUCCGGACCACAGGCCUGGGUCCCUCGUCUGCUUGAAGAAGGCCAUCUGGGUGUGGGGGGAGACCAGCAUGGCCGAGAAAGGGCUAGGGGGCCUGGUGGGAAGGGGCUGGGGUCGGGACGGCAAGGGCGCUGCUUGCCAGGGUGGACUAUUGCUCAUGUCCAGCUCAAACCAGUUCAAGAAACCAACCUCCAUUUCCUUUUCUUGGUGGGUCCUUUUUUUUUUUUCAGACUGUUAACAGAAAAAAAUUUUAAAAAGCAGAAAACUGAAAAAAGAAAAAAAAAAGAAAAAAU
This 3113-nucleotide long non-coding RNA is filed under the name Equus caballus (horse). RNAcentral's name for it is "lncRNA (ENSECAG00000057931.1)". The record is from RNAcentral. Lineage: Eukaryota; Metazoa; Chordata; Mammalia; Perissodactyla; Equidae.